Molecule: long non-coding RNA, 1322 nt
Organism: Marmota flaviventris (yellow-bellied marmot)
Lineage: Eukaryota; Metazoa; Chordata; Mammalia; Rodentia; Sciuridae
Source: RefSeq, a predicted model, not a curated record
UGGGCCUGGGCCUGCAGAGACCAGCAGAUGUCUGUCACUCGCGCUCCCCCACUUCACCACGGGGCCAGGACCAGGACAGCCUGUUGCAGCGCACCAAGGAGGCUGGGCUUCUCCAGAGUGUGGCCCUGUCCCUUCCUGUGGGACUGUCCUCUCUAGUCCCUGCUGGGCCCUGCUCUCUGCUUAGCAAGGGCAUCGAUGGCUUCAUAAGCACCGAACAUCAUCUGCUUUCUGCUCUUCAUUACCAAUACAGAAAAACAAACCUAAGGAGAGUCUUCCUAGUGCAAGAAAGAACGGAACAUCGCAAGUUCCCAGGGCCACACCAACCCCACACAGCAGACACAACGCGAGAGGUGACUCCACCCGGGGACCCUGUGUGGCAUGAACGUGAGUCCUCAUCCUCACGGUUGUCCCGGGCAAGCCCUGAAGUGCCGAGCAUAGGGGAGCACAGGCUAAAUGUGUGGAAUGGAGCCGGAUUAGAAGAGGAGACGCUCCUGCUAAUUCUGGACUUGCUUCCUACGCGUGCCAGCUCCCUGCUGUUGGACCUCGGCCCCGCCAGUCUUCCCCUCUGAACGUGUUUCUUCUUCUGUGAAAUAGGAGUAAUCAUGUGCUCUUCUUACCUCAUACGUCAUUGCAAGGAUUAAACUAGAUGGCACGUGUGAAAAUGCUUGUACACUCCAAAGAACCACGUGAGGCAUCGUAAGCGCUGUGAGGAUUGCUACUAUUUUGAGCCCACAGUGGGAGACUGGACCUGGGAGAAAUGGCAGAUGGCCCGGGGUUGUGGGGCAGGAGGCUGACUUGUUUGCUUAUCAGUGGAAAACACACUCUGACUCAUAUCAGAAAAGAAGCCUGGCAAACAUUAAAAAAGAAAAAAAUUUGGAGAAAGCCAAUGAGCCCACAGUUGGAAUUUUGGACUGGGGUUUAGAAACAUGAGUACAGGAGGCUGACAACAUUGGAUGGAGUCCAGGAGAAGCAGCAGUCCCUCCAGAACAGAAGGUCCCAUUCGCAAAGGAGUCAGCACGAAACAUGUGGGUCUGGCUCCCAGGACGUUGCACUUGUUGGCCAAAGUUCUUCUGUAACCAAAUGCACGAGGUUCCCUCCUCAUGAGCAUAAGGCUGAAGCACAACCAGGAGACCAGAGUGAAGCUAGGCUUACGGCUCGCAGAGGGUACUGCCCCUCAGAGGAAGCAAGAGGCUCUUCACUGGGGAGGUCAUACGUAUUCAUGUGUGACAACCUGUUACCACCUGUAGGGCAGGCACAGUCAUGAGCAUGCUCAGUGGAGAUCACUUGUCACACGAUCAAAAAUAAAUGGUGGGUGGAAGCAA